Molecule: small RNA, 1057 nt
Filed under: Pongo abelii (Sumatran orangutan)
Lineage: Eukaryota; Metazoa; Chordata; Mammalia; Primates; Hominidae
Description: processed transcript
Source: RNAcentral
ACCUCCCUACCCCAGCAUCCUGACAGAUGCCACCAUGGAGAAGCUGGCACUGGCCAAAUUUGUGGCCCAAGAAUCGAAGUGUGAGGCAUCUGCUGUCACCGUGCGCUUCUACGGCCUUGUGCACUGGGAGGACCCCACAGACGAGUCCCUGGGCCCCACACCCUGCCACUGCUCACCCCCCGAGGGUACCAUCACCAAAGAAGGCAUGCUGCACUACAAGGCGGGCACCUCCUACCUGGGCAAGGAACACUGGAAGACGUGCUUCGUGGUGCUCAGCAAUGGGAUCCUCUACCAGUACCCAGACCGCACCGAUGUCAUCCCUCUGCUCUCGGUGAACAUGGGGUCAUUCUCUCCGACCGGCCCUGCCUGGAGCUGAGUGCUGAGAGCGAGGCCGAGAUGGCCGAGUGGAUGCAGCAUCUCUGCCAGGCUGUGUCCAAAGGGGUCAUCCCCCAGGGCGUAGCUCCCAGCCCCUGCAUCCCCUGCUGCCUGGUCCUCACGGAUGACCGCCUCUUCACGUGCCAUGAGGAUUGCCAGACCAGCUUCUUCCGCUCUUUGGGCACAGCCAAGCUGGGCGACAUCAGUGCCGUCUCCACCGAGCCGGGCAAGGAGUAUUGCGUCUUGGAGUUCUCCCAGGACAGCCAGCAGCUCCUCCCGCCCUGGGUCAUCUACCUGAGCUGCACUUCUGAACUGGACCGAUUGCUGUCUGCACUGAACUCUGGGUGGAAAACCAUCUAUCAGGUGGACCUCCCCCACACGGCAAUCCAGGAAGCCUCCAACAAGAAGAAAUUCGAGGAUGCCUUGAGCCUCAUCCACAGCGCCUGGCAGCGGAGCGACAGUCUCUGCCGCGGCCGAGCCUCCCGAGACCCCUGGUGCUGAGGCAGAGCUGGUUGGCGUCCCUGGAGGGCAGGAAAGGAAGGCACGCCAGCCGGCAGGCACACUGUCAUGGCUGUUGUCAUGCUGUCGGGAGCCUACAGCCCACCCCUGCCCCGGGCGGCAGAACCACCGAGUGUGGCUUAAGACAGGGUCCCUCCACUCCAGGGAUCCAGGUCAGGUGCCC